UUUCAAUUGGGUUGAGGUUUGGACUCUGAAUGGGCCAUUGCAACACCUUCAUUAUUUUUUUUUUCAGCCAUUCUGUUGUAGAUUUGCUGGUGUGCUUGGGAUCAUUGUCCUGUUGCAUGACCCAAUUUCUACCAACAUUUGAUUCAUUUGAUAGAAUACUUUGAUUCACAGAGGAGCUCAUGGUUGACUCAAUGACUACAAGGAUCCCAAGUCAUGUGGCUCCAAAACAAGCCAAAAUCAUCAUAC
Non-coding RNA from Pelobates cultripes (western spadefoot toad), 246 nucleotides. Lineage: Eukaryota; Metazoa; Chordata; Amphibia; Anura; Pelobatidae. The record is from the annotation of a GenBank genome assembly.